CACAAAUCUAUCUAAAUCAAAAUUUUAAUAAUUUUCAUGCCAAACAUUUACUGGACUGAUUUAAAUAUUAAAAUCACUCCUUUCUAAUCCUCUGCUGUACGUUCAAACCUGAGGCCUUAAAUAGAAACACACAAGUAUCUGAUUGAAGGAACUUCUGCAGAGUCCUGGUUCCAGAACAUGAUGAUAGAAUUAUAGACAAACUUUAACAAAAGCUGCCUGAGAGUUUACAGGUUUUUAUGUUAGAUUUCUUCAGUAAUUUAAUGAGAGUUAUCAGCAAAAAUCAAGUGUUCAUUUGAUGAACUUCAUUUCCUUAAACAUCCAGAAUUGGAGCUCAUAUCUUUGGCAGCUGUAAAGUUUCUGCUCCUUCAAAGUUCACAACACAAUGAAUGAAUUCCUAAAACACUCUGAAUGCUGGAGAGCGUUUGUAAUGCUGAAGCAGUGACCAGUUUUUCUGUUUCUUCUCUGGAGAUGCACAAUGAGGGACGUCUGCAGCGACUGAGAAUGAGUCUCGCCACAUCCUGACGUGAGGAAAAAGACUUUAUUGAAGACUACAAUGAGAAAAACUAUCAGACAGCAGACGGCUGCAUUCAAGUCUGUAACUGCUGAAUUCAUGGAUGAAUCAUCUGGCACUAGAGAGGAAGACCAUCAAACAUCCACGUCAGCUGAUGGAGGUCCAAGAGUCUCACCCAACAACCUACAGAGUGAAGACCUCCAAUCUGAUUGGACGGCCUCCUAUUCAGCCACAUUUUAGGCUGUUAGAUUGUUCCAGAUAAGACGAGUACAAGAUUCUUCAGAGCCGUUCUACCACGAGCCUGACAGGAAGAACUCCAACAGCUACUGAAUGUUCCUGUGGUUCCCUCAAGGCUACAGGAGGAGUCCUACGAGGACAAGCCGGUCCACCUGAUGGUGGCCAGUCGCUGCGGUUCAAAGCCAACACCGACUACGUGAACUUCUACUGGACCACAUAGAGGCCUUCAAACCGGACCAACAAGUUCAGCGACUCCCCGACUCGUGGGUCUGAGGACGCCGCCGAGCCUCGGUCCAGCUGGCCUCCUGUCUGUGGGUGUUUGAGUGCUGAGAGGUUUGUGGAUGCAUGUGAACGUUCUGUGUUGAAACAGCAGCUUUUGACUCAGUAACGCCAGGAAAAACUAAGAGCUCCUUUAUUUGUGACUUCCACUAAACAAACUGAUGAAAAUAAGUUUACCAGGAUUCUGACUGAUAACAGAUUAUUAAAUAAUGAAAAUAAUCAUUUAAAUAUUCCUUUAAACAAUCCUUUUAGGUCUACAUUUCCUUUACACUGACUUCUUGGUAUAUGUACAAGUAUUUUGGGUGGAAUAUACCAUUAAGCCUAAUGUUCAAG
Amphiprion ocellaris (clown anemonefish) is the source of this 1360-nucleotide long non-coding RNA. Lineage: Eukaryota; Metazoa; Chordata; Actinopteri; Pomacentridae. The record is from Ensembl.